GAUGAAGAACGCAGCGAAAUGCGAUACUUGGUGUGAAUUGCAGAAUCCCGUGAACCAUCGAGUCUUUGAACGCAAGUUGCGCCCGAAGCCACUAGGCCGAGGGCACGCCUGCCUGGGCGUCACACGUCGUUGCCCCCCACCAUCUACUCCUUCGGGAUUGCGGGGGGCGGAUGAUGGCCUCCCGUGCGCCUAGCCGCGCGGUUGGCAUAAAUACCAAGUCCUCGGCGACGCACGCCACGACAAUCGGUGGUUGCGAAACCUCGGUUGCCCGUCGUGUGCGUUCGUCGCGCAUCGAGGGCUCGAAAAAAUGCUCGGCUCCGGCUCGGCUUUCAACACGACCCCAGGUCAGGCGGGGUUACCCGCUGAAUUUAAGCAUAUCAAUAAGCGGAGGA
RNAcentral lists this unclassified non-coding RNA (392 nucleotides) under soil metagenome. RNAcentral's name for it is "partial contains 5.8S ribosomal RNA, internal transcribed spacer 2, and large subunit ribosomal RNA". The stretch from base 1 to 122 matches the Rfam family "5.8S ribosomal RNA", at positions 35 to 154 of the family's 154-position model. The record is from RNAcentral.